Molecule: ribosomal RNA, 497 nt
Filed under: uncultured bacterium
Lineage: Bacteria
Description: partial 16S ribosomal RNA
Rfam family: Bacterial small subunit ribosomal RNA
Source: RNAcentral
GAUGAACGCUGGCGGCGUGCCUAAUACAUGCAAGUCGAGCGAACGGACGAGAAGCUUGCUUCCUUGAUGUUAGCGGCGGACGGGUGAGUAACACGUGGAUAACCUACUUAUAAGACUGGGAUAACUUCGGGAAACCGGAGCUAAUACCGGCUGAUAUUUUGAACCGCAUGGUUCAAAAGUGAAAGACGCUCUUGCUGUCACUUAUAGAUGGAUCCGCGCUGCAUUAGCUAGUUGGUAAGGUAACGGCUUACCAAGGCAACGAUGCAUAGCCGACCUGAGAGGGUGAUCGGCCACACUGGAACUGAGACACGGUCCAGACUCCUACGGGAGGCAGCAGUAGGGAAUCUUCCGCAAUGGGCGAAAGCCUGACGGAGCAACGCCGCGUGAGUGAUGAAGGUCUUCGGAUCGUAAAACUCUGUUAUUAGGGAAGAACAUAUGUGUAAGUAACUGUGCACAUCUUGACGGUACCUAAUCAGAAAGCCACGGCUAACUACGUG